This 446-nucleotide unclassified non-coding RNA is filed under the name Bombus terrestris (buff-tailed bumblebee). Its description in RNAcentral is "misc RNA ENSBTSG00005032765.1". The record is from RNAcentral. Lineage: Eukaryota; Metazoa; Arthropoda; Insecta; Hymenoptera; Apidae.
UAUGGGAUUGAACGAAAAGCAAGCCGAGUACGUAUUUACGAGAAACGGAGGAGAGUCCUGAUUUAAUUUAAAAACGAUUUAAUUCGACGUAAAUCGCGCGAUACACUCGACUAACGGUGCAACCUCGGUUAACACUGCGAACGAGUCCAAAGGAUUAGGCCAUAAAUGAAAGUAACUGCAUUCCAAGAAUUUUUAUAACUUUGCUCUGCCAUUUUACCUUCUAUCAUUCCCACUGGCUCUCUGUCUUUCUACGAUCUGGCAGAAUACGCGCAGACAGCACGUUACGCGCAUCUAGAUUUCUGCUCCGACAUUCACGAUAACCCAUCGUCCGUGUCAUUUUGUAAUCGAGCAUUUUUACCAAAAAGUGAUAACGCAGAUUUUCCUAAGCGAGAACGAGAGCUACGCUCGAAGUGGACCAACCUCAGUGGAUUGAUGUAAAAGUAAGG